Rattus norvegicus (Norway rat) is the source of this 68-nucleotide non-coding RNA. The record is from Rfam. Lineage: Eukaryota; Metazoa; Chordata; Mammalia; Rodentia; Muridae.
GGGGAUUUAGCUCAGUGGUAGAGCGUUGCCUAGCAAGCGCAAGGCCCUGGGUUCGGUCCCCAGCUCCG